RNAcentral lists this ribosomal RNA (301 nucleotides) under uncultured bacterium. Its description in RNAcentral is "partial 16S ribosomal RNA". It matches the Rfam family "Bacterial small subunit ribosomal RNA", at positions 509 to 807 of the family's 1533-position model. The record is from RNAcentral.
CAGCAGCCGCGGUAAUACGUAGGGUGCAAGCGUUAAUCGGAAUUACUGGGCGUAAAGCGUGCGCAGGCGGUUAUAUAAGACAGAUGUGAAAUCCCCGGGCUCAACCUGGGAACUGCAUUUGUGACUGUAUAGCUAGAGUACGGCAGAGGGGGAUGGAAUUCCGCGUGUAGCAGUGAAAUGCGUAGAUAUGCGGAGGAACACCGAUGGCGAAGGCAAUCCCCUGGGCCUGUACUGACGCUCAUGCACGAAAGCGUGGGGAGCAAACAGGAUUAGAGACCCCUGUAGUCCCUGUCUCUUAUAC